Non-coding RNA from Pelobates cultripes (western spadefoot toad), 282 nucleotides. The record is from the annotation of a GenBank genome assembly. NCBI's taxonomy places the organism in Eukaryota, Metazoa, Chordata, Amphibia, Anura, Pelobatidae.
AUACAGAUUCCUACCACCAUAACCACUACUAAAAGCAGAAGUGGUCAUAGUGGUUGGAGUAACCCUUUAAAGAUUUAGAAAAUUACAUCGUAAUCCAGUUCCGACUAGGUAAAGCCAGGGCAAGCAUUGCAAAUGAAGUGGAGGAUACCAUUGUUUAAUUUCUCCUCUUCACUAUAUGCUCAGUCUAUGCUGAGUGCCAGGUACAAAGGACAGAGCUUGUAACAAUGACUGAUGACAGGGAGCCAAGAUGGAGGCACUUAUUUGCAGGAUAAAGAGGUGUGG